CAGUAGCCACGGGAUACAGAGGGUGCAAGCGUUAAUCGGAAUUACUGGGCGUAAAGCGCGCGUAGGUGGUUUGUUAAGUUGGAUGUGAAAGCCCCGGGCUCAACCUGGGAACUGCAUCCAAAACUGGCAAGCUAGAGUACGGUAGAGGGUGGUGGAAUUUCCUGUGUAGCGGUGAAAUGCGUAGAUAUAGGAAGGAACACCAGUGGCGAAGGCGACCACCUGGACUGAUACUGACACUGAGGUGCGAAAGCGUGGGGAGCAAACAGGAUUAGAUACCCCUGUAGUCCCUGUCUCUUAUACA
This 301-nucleotide ribosomal RNA is filed under the name uncultured bacterium. RNAcentral's name for it is "partial 16S ribosomal RNA". It matches the Rfam family "Bacterial small subunit ribosomal RNA", at positions 509 to 808 of the family's 1533-position model. The record is from RNAcentral.